GACGAACGCUGGCAGCGUGCUUAACACAUGCAAGUCGAACGGAAAGGCCCUGCUUUUGUGGGGUGCUCGAGUGGCGAACGGGUGAAUAACACGUGAGUAACCUGCCCUUGACUUUGGGAUAACUUCAGGAAACUGGGGCUAAUACCGGAUAGGAGCUCCUGCUGCAUGGUGGGGGUUGGAAAGUUUCGGCGGUUGGGGAUGGACUCGCGGCUUAUCAGCUUGUUGGUGGGGUAGUGGCUUACCAAGGCUUUGACGGGUAGCCGGCCUGAGAGGGUGACCGGCCACAUUGGGACUGAGAUACGGCCCAGACUCCUACGGGAGGCAGCAGUGGGGAAUAUUGCACAAUGGGCGGAAGCCUGAUGCAGCAACGCCGCGUGCGGGAUGACGGCCUUCGGGUUGUAAACCGCUUUCGCCUGUGACGAAGCGUGAGUGACGGUAAUGGGUAAAGAAGCACCGGCUAACUACGUG
This 468-nucleotide ribosomal RNA is filed under the name uncultured bacterium. RNAcentral's name for it is "partial 16S ribosomal RNA". It matches the Rfam family "Bacterial small subunit ribosomal RNA", at positions 28 to 507 of the family's 1533-position model. The record is from RNAcentral.